Molecule: ribosomal RNA, 839 nt
Filed under: uncultured soil bacterium
Lineage: Bacteria
Description: bacterial SSU rRNA
Rfam family: Bacterial small subunit ribosomal RNA
Source: RNAcentral
AGAAUCAACGCUGGCGGCGUGCCUAACACAUGCAAGUCGAACGAGAAAGUGGAGCAAUCCAUGAGUACAGUGGCGCACGGGUGAGUAACACGUGACUAACCUACCCUGGAGUGGGGGAUAACUGAGGGAAACCUUAGCUAAUACCGCAUAAUACCUACGGGUCAAAGGAGCAAUUCGCUUUGGGAGGGGGUCGCGGCCGAUUAGUUAGUUGGCGGGGUAAUGGCCCACCAAGACGAUGAUCGGUAUCCGGCCUGAGAGGGCGCACGGACACACUGGAACUGAAACACGGUCCAGACUCCUACGGGAGGCAGCAGUGGGGAAUUUUGCGCAAUGGGGGAAACCCUGACGCAGCAACGCCGCGUGGAGGAUGAAGUACUUCGGUACGUAAACUCCUUUCGAUCGGGACGAUUAUGACGGUACCGGAAGAAGAAGCCCCGGCUAACUUCGUGCCAGCAGCCGCGGUAAUACGAGGGGGGCAAGCGUUGUUCGGAAUUACUGGGCGUAAAGCGUGCGUAGACGGUUACGUAAGUCGGAUGUGAAAUCCCCGGGCUCAACCUGGGAAUUGCAUUCGAGACUGUGUAGCUGGGGUGCGGAAGAGGGAAGCGGAAUUUCCGGUGUAGCGGUGAAAUGCGUAGAUAUCGGAAGGAACAUCAGUGGCGAAAGCGGCUUCCUGGUCCAGCACCGACGUUCAGGCACGAAAGCGUGGGGAGCAAACAGGAUUAGAUACCCUGGUAGUCCACGCCAUAAACGAUGAGUGCUAGACGUCGGGGAGCUUGCUCUUCGGUGUCGCCGCUAACGCAUUAAGCACUCCGCCUGGGGAGUACGGUCGCAAGAUUAAA